This 119-nucleotide ribosomal RNA is filed under the name Gammaproteobacteria bacterium. RNAcentral describes it as "partial 16S ribosomal RNA". It matches the Rfam family "Bacterial small subunit ribosomal RNA", at positions 1 to 98 of the family's 1533-position model. The record is from RNAcentral. Lineage: Bacteria; Pseudomonadati; Pseudomonadota; Gammaproteobacteria.
AUUUAAUUGAAGAGUUUGAUCAUGGCUCAGAUUGAACGCUGGCGGUAGGUUUUAAACAUGCAAGUCGAGCGGUAACAGACAUUUUGAUUCAGCUUGCUGAAUCUCGUGCUGACGAGCGG